RNAcentral lists this long non-coding RNA (706 nucleotides) under Apteryx rowi (Okarito brown kiwi). RNAcentral's name for it is "lncRNA (ENSARWG00000014955.1)". Lineage: Eukaryota; Metazoa; Chordata; Aves; Apterygiformes; Apterygidae. The record is from RNAcentral.
CCUGGGAACUGUUGGGUAAGGUUUCAGAAAAUUCUUCUCUUCCCCAGCCAGAAUAAUCGCUGACUGUGAGGGGCCGAAUAGAUCUACAGCUGAACUAGGAGAGCUUCUCAUGUGCCAUCCUUAUCCUUCAAGUCCUGUGUGCAGCAUAUUGGCCCCCGGCGACCUUAUGUACAAAUACCUCAGAAGUUGUAUGAUGGAGCUUUGAGAGAGACUUGAGAAAGACCCACUAUGUAUACAAAAUAUUGCAAGAAUUGGCAGUGAGGAGUCCAGAGAGAACUUGUUUCCCCUGGAGUGACCUCUCUUUGUACUUCAGCAUUUGAUGUUGCUCCCCCCUGAACUAACCAGUGCAACCAAGCAGAAAAUAUGGCCUUACUUCUCAGGAUUUCUCAGUUGGAUGCAGAUGCCACUAAGUUAAGACUCUCUCUCUCAGCAAUUCAGACUGACUCAUCAUUCCUUAAGUCAUCAGAGAACUGGAAAAUUCGGCAGUGGAAGAGGAGCAUUUACAGGGUGACAGCAGAAAUGAUGCAGUGGUGAACCUGGAGUGAGCACGCGUCAGGGUUUCCACGCCGCGGUCUGAGGUGCAGUGUCAGGAUACCCAGGUGAGCGUUCAGCUCCAGUGGCACAGGCUACACGGAGAACUAACUUACUGCUCUGGUGUGCUGCGACUAAACUGUACAUAGCACCUAUCUUGCCUGUUUAAAGGUGG